Molecule: non-coding RNA, 30 nt
Filed under: Homo sapiens (human)
Lineage: Eukaryota; Metazoa; Chordata; Mammalia; Primates; Hominidae
Source: RNAcentral
UUCAUCUGUAAAGUGGAAUGAUAAUAGGAC